This 301-nucleotide ribosomal RNA is filed under the name uncultured bacterium. Its description in RNAcentral is "partial 16S ribosomal RNA". It matches the Rfam family "Bacterial small subunit ribosomal RNA", at positions 509 to 807 of the family's 1533-position model. The record is from RNAcentral.
CAGCCGCCGCGGGAAUACGUAGGUGGCAAGCGUUGUCCGGAAUUAUUGGGCGUAAAGGGCUCGCAGGCGGUUUCUUAAGUCUGAUGUGAAAGCCCCCGGCUCAACCGGGGAGGGUCAUUGGAAACUGGGAAACUUGAGUGCAGAAGAGGAGAGUGGAAUUCCACGUGUAGCGGUGAAAUGCGUAGAGAUGUGGAGGAACACCAGUGGCGAAGGCGACUCUCUGGUCUGUAACUGACGCUGAGGCUCGAAAGCGUGGGGAGCAAACAGGAUUAGAUACCCCGGUAGUCCCUGUCUCUUAUAC